This 76-nucleotide transfer RNA is filed under the name Pseudomonas aeruginosa. Its description in RNAcentral is "tRNA-Val". It matches the Rfam family "tRNA". Rfam says of the family: Transfer RNA (tRNA) molecules are approximately 80 nucleotides in length. Their secondary structure includes four short double-helical elements and three loops (D, anti-codon, and T loops). RNAcentral also lists the same sequence under 1 other name. Lineage: Bacteria; Pseudomonadati; Pseudomonadota; Gammaproteobacteria; Pseudomonadales; Pseudomonadaceae. The record is from RNAcentral.
AGAUCUGUAGCUCAGUGGGAAGAGCAUCUGCCUUACAAGCAGAGGGUCGGCGGUUCGAGCCCGCCCGGAUCUACCA